Molecule: ribosomal RNA, 498 nt
Filed under: uncultured bacterium
Lineage: Bacteria
Description: partial 16S ribosomal RNA
Rfam family: Bacterial small subunit ribosomal RNA
Source: RNAcentral
AUUGAACGCUGGCGGAAUGCUUUACACAUGCAAGUCGAGCGGCAGCGCGGGGCAACCUAGCGGCGAGCGGCGAACGGGUGAGUAACAUAUCGGAACGUACCCCGUCGUGGGGGAUAACUAUCCGAAAGGAUGGCUAAUACCGCAUACGACCUGAGGGUGAAAGGGGGGGAUCGCAAGACCUCUCGCGAUGGGAGCGGCCGAUAUCGGAUUAGCUAGUUGGUAGGGUAAAGGCCUACCAAGGCGACGAUCCGUAGCUGGUCUGAGAGGACGACCAGCCACACUGGAACUGAGACACGGUCCAGACUCCUACGGGAGGCAGCAGUGGGGAAUUUUGGACAAUGGGCGAAAGCCUGAUCCAGCCAUUCCGCGUGAGUGAAGAAGGCCUUCGGGUUGUAAAGCUCUUUCGGCAGGAACGAAACGGUGGUCCCUAAUACGGACUGCUACUGACGGUACCUGAAGAAGAAGCACCGGCUAACUACGUGCCAGCCGCCGCAGUAA